Molecule: ribosomal RNA, 400 nt
Filed under: uncultured bacterium
Lineage: Bacteria
Description: bacterial SSU rRNA
Rfam family: Bacterial small subunit ribosomal RNA
Source: RNAcentral
UGGGGAAUUUUCCGCAAUGGGCGAAAGCCUGACGGAGCAAGACCGCGUGGGGGAGGAAGGCUCUUGGGUUGUAAACCCCUUUUCUCAGGGAAGAAGUUCUGACGGUACCUGAGGAAUCAGCCUCGGCUAACUCCGUGCCAGCAGCCGCGGUAAUACGGAGGAGGCAAGCGUUAUCCGGAAUUAUUGGGCGUAAAGCGUCCGCAGGUGGCUCGUCAAGUCGGUGGUCAAAGCACAGGGCUUAACUCUGUAAAGGCCGGCGAAACUGACAAGCUAGAGUGCGGUAGGGGUAGAGGGAAUUCCCGGUGUAGCGGUGAAAUGCGUAGAUAUCGGGAAGAACACCAGUAGCGAAAGCGCUCUACUGGACCGCAACUGACACUCAGGGACGAAAGCUAGGGGAGCG